This 292-nucleotide ribosomal RNA is filed under the name uncultured bacterium. RNAcentral describes it as "partial 16S ribosomal RNA". It matches the Rfam family "Archaeal small subunit ribosomal RNA", at positions 455 to 747 of the family's 1478-position model. The record is from RNAcentral.
GUGCCAGCGCCGCGGUAAUACCGGCAGCCCGAGUGAUGGCCGAUCUUAUUGGGCCUAAAGCGUCCGUAGCCGGCCUCGCAAGUCCGUCGGGAAAUCCAGUAGCUCAACUACUGGGCGUCCGGCGGAAACUACAAGGCUUGGGACCGGAAGGCUCGAGGGGUACGUCCGGGGUAGGAGUGAAAUCCUGUAAUCCCGAACGGACCACCGAUGGCGAAAGCAUCUCGAGAAAACGGAUCCGACAGUGAGGGACGAAAGCUAGGGUCUCGAACCGGAUUAGAAACCCGGGUAGUCC